This 456-nucleotide small RNA is filed under the name Arabidopsis thaliana (thale cress). RNAcentral describes it as "ATSL049250". The record is from RNAcentral. Lineage: Eukaryota; Viridiplantae; Streptophyta; Magnoliopsida; Brassicales; Brassicaceae.
AUUGAUGGAUUUUAAUAGAAUUGAAAUUCAACAAUAAUGUACUGUUAUUCAUCUAAUGAUUCUAAAUCCAGCUUUAAAAUCUAGUGUUACUGGAGCUUAUCUUUUUAAAUCAUGCUUAAUAGAUUUUAAAGUUUGUUGUUAUUCAAUUAAGAUUUUAAAUAGUUUAUUAAAAUUCAGUGUUAUUCAAAACUAAAAGACUUGUAAAAUAUUUGUAUAUUAAUUUAUUUGAAAUGAAACACUUUUGGAGUUUCAUGAGUAAAUCAUUAGAAUCAAAAUCCAAGAUAUACUCCAGAGAUUUUGAAAUCCAAGCAAACAUAUUCUUAAAAGCAAUAUGCCAAUAUCAGGAAGUCAAUCAUCUAAACUUUAAAUAAUAGAUUUUAACUCCAUAAUUGAAUAACACCACCUAAAUAUAUUAACCUUCUCAAGUCCUUAGCUUGGAUCAUAACACAUUGGCAU